Long non-coding RNA from Aegilops tauschii subsp. strangulata, 368 nucleotides. RefSeq lists it as uncharacterized. The record is from RefSeq and is a predicted model, not a curated record. NCBI's taxonomy places the organism in Eukaryota, Viridiplantae, Streptophyta, Magnoliopsida, Poales, Poaceae.
CUUUUAUUUGUCUUCGCUCGUAGCGUCUAGUGUGACCAUCAAGACACCCUAUCGGAACCCCAACUUGAAAAAUCCUUCGUGGAUAGGUCGACCGCGCCGUUGGCUCGUCGAUAACGUUGUGGACUUGAUUCAACGAUUGUCGUGGAUGUCAGUCGUGUACGGUUCUCCCUGUACGGUUGGUAGCCGGAUCGUGAGGGUCAAGUCCCACCCAAAAUCGUAGUUAUCUCUCUCACAUCGAAAGAUUGGGCCCCAGUUCACAUCACUUGAUUUAUUUUUGUCUAUGAUUGUCAUUGAUGUGUUCCUAACAUAAUAUUUGUUAGAGUUGUGUCGAAUAUUAUUGUAUAAGAUAGGUUACAGUUGGACUUGGA